Molecule: transfer RNA, 70 nt
Filed under: Neotermes sp. A TB-2014
Lineage: Eukaryota; Metazoa; Arthropoda; Insecta; Blattodea; Kalotermitidae
Description: tRNA-Val
Source: RNAcentral
CAGGCUUUACUUGUAGUUAAGGGUUUCAUUUACAUUGAAUUGUUUUGCCGUGCGAUUCGGCGUUGUCUGA